UACGUAGGUGGCAAGCGUUGUCCGGAUUUACUGGGCGUAAAGAGCGCGCAGGCGGUCGUUCAAGUCGCGUGUGAAAGCCCCCGGCUCAACUGGGGAGGGUCACGCGAUACUGAUCGACUCGAAGGCAGGAGAGGGUAGUGGAAUUCCCGGUGUAGUGGUGAAAUGCGUAGAUAUCAGGAAGAACACCCGUGGCUAAGGCGGUUCUCUAGUACGGUACUGACGCUGAGACGCGAAAGCGUGGGGAGCGAACAGG
RNAcentral lists this ribosomal RNA (253 nucleotides) under uncultured bacterium. RNAcentral describes it as "partial 16S ribosomal RNA". It matches the Rfam family "Bacterial small subunit ribosomal RNA", at positions 524 to 776 of the family's 1533-position model. The record is from RNAcentral.